RNAcentral lists this ribosomal RNA (253 nucleotides) under uncultured bacterium. RNAcentral's name for it is "partial 16S ribosomal RNA". It matches the Rfam family "Bacterial small subunit ribosomal RNA", at positions 524 to 776 of the family's 1533-position model. The record is from RNAcentral.
GACGUAGGACGCAAGCGUUAUCCGGAGUUACUGGGCGUAAAGCGCGGGCAGGCGGCUCGAAACGUCUGAUGUGAAAUCUCCUCGCUCAACGGGGAGAGGCCAUUGGAAACGGUCGAGCUGGAGGGCAGUAGAGGUAGGCGGAAUUCCGGGUGGAGUGGUGAAAUGCGUAGAGAUCCGGAGGAACACCAGAGGCGAAGGCGGCCUACUGGGCUGCACCUGACGCUGAGCCGCGAAAGCCAGGGGAGCGAACGGG